RNAcentral lists this ribosomal RNA (253 nucleotides) under uncultured bacterium. Its description in RNAcentral is "partial 16S ribosomal RNA". It matches the Rfam family "Bacterial small subunit ribosomal RNA", at positions 524 to 776 of the family's 1533-position model. The record is from RNAcentral.
UACGGGGGGGGCAAGCGUUGUUCGGAAUUACUGGGCGUAAAGGGCUCGUAGGCGGCCAACUAAGUCAGACGUGAAAUCCCUCGGCUUAACCGGGGAACUGCAUCUGAUACUGGAUGGCUUGAGUUCGGGAGAGGGAUGCGGAAUUCCAGGUGUAGCGGUGAAAUGCGUAGAUAUCUGGAGGAACACCGGUGGCGAAGGCGGCAUCCUGGACCGGCACUGACACUGAGGCACGAAAGCGUGGGGAGCAAACAGG